RNAcentral lists this non-coding RNA (23 nucleotides) under Arabidopsis thaliana (thale cress). The record is from RNAcentral. Lineage: Eukaryota; Viridiplantae; Streptophyta; Magnoliopsida; Brassicales; Brassicaceae.
UUUGUUCUUCUCUCUGUUAGGCC